AGCACGCAUGCGCCACAUCCUUUCUUCCCAAGUGCGGAAAGAGCUGGUCACACAUUUUACACGUUGCAGUGUAACUUGAGGAGCCAGAUGAAGAUGGCUACAGCUAGUGGAAGGGAUCAUAAUAUUUGCCACUGGACAUGGGAGACAUGAGAAGUACUGAUGAAAAAAAAUGGUCUUAGGAUUACCACUAGAAAAAGGGGGCCCUGAGAAGUGCAGAUGAAGACCGGUAACUAUAUAUUAU
This 241-nucleotide long non-coding RNA is filed under the name Sinocyclocheilus grahami. RNAcentral describes it as "lncRNA (ENSSGRG00000028168.1)". The record is from RNAcentral. Lineage: Eukaryota; Metazoa; Chordata; Actinopteri; Cypriniformes; Cyprinidae.